UGGGGAAUUUUGGACAAUGGGCGAAAGCCUGAUCCAGCAAUGCCGCGUGUGUGAAGAAGGCCUUCGGGUUGUAAAGCACUUUUGUCCGGAAAGAAAUCCUUGGCUCUAAUACAGUCGGGGGAUGACGGUACCGGAAGAAUAAGCACCGGCUAACUACGUGCCAGCAGCCGCGGUAAUACGUAGGGUGCAAGCGUUAAUCGGAAUUACUGGGCGUAAAGCGUGCGCAGGCGGUUUGCUAAGACCGAUGUGAAAUCCCCGGGCUCAACCUGGGAACUGCAUGGUGACUGGCAGGCUAGAGUAUGGCAGAGGGGGGUAGAAUUCCACGUGUAGCAGUGAAAUGCGUAGAGAUGUGGAGGAAUACCGAUGGCGAAGGCAGCCCCCUGGGCCAAUACUGACGCUCAUGCACGAAAGCGUGGGGAGCAAACAGGAUUAGAUACCCUGGUAGUCCACGCCCUAAACGAUGUCAACUAGUUGUUGGGGAUUCAUUUCCUUAGUAACGUAGCUAACGCGUGAAGUUGACCGCCUGGGGAGUACGGUCGCAAGAUUAAAACUUAAAGGAAUUG
Molecule: ribosomal RNA, 563 nt
Filed under: uncultured bacterium
Lineage: Bacteria
Description: partial 16S ribosomal RNA
Rfam family: Bacterial small subunit ribosomal RNA
Source: RNAcentral